Long non-coding RNA from Prosopis cineraria, 1952 nucleotides. RefSeq lists it as uncharacterized. The transcript has 3 exons. The record is from RefSeq and is a predicted model, not a curated record. NCBI's taxonomy places the organism in Eukaryota, Viridiplantae, Streptophyta, Magnoliopsida, Fabales, Fabaceae.
CCCUUCAUUGUUCUCGAUCACUUCUCACCUAUAUGAAAGAAACACAACUUGCGGAUCCAUGUUAAGGUCUCAUUGUUAAUGCUGAGUCGGCCUUCUGAUUCUGAAUUAGCAAGGUUGUUUUUGUGUUUGCGCGUGUGUGUGAUGUUGUUUGUUCCUGUCUGUACUGAACUGCUAUUCUAGUUUUUGCUCUCUCUCUCUCUCUCUCUCUCAGUUCUUAGUGUUUUUCAUAGAAAACAAGAAAGCUAUGCGCCAUCUCUCUCUCUCUCUCUCUCUCUCUGUAAAUUUGCAGAACCCUAAGACGAACUGAUAUAUAUAUAUAUAUAUAUAUAUGCAAAUUGCUGAGAACAAGAAAGAAGCCCUUUUUCUUCAUUUGAACAAUAGCAGAAACAUUUUCAGCCACAGCCAAGCUUGAGGUGCUUUGAUUUGCGGAUGAUGAGACAAGAAAAGAAAAGAGGAAGUUGAAGAAGAAGAAUGAAUCAGAGCCGUCGGAUGAAGAGAUGAGAGAUUCGUGCAAAUGAAAAGGAGAUGAUAGAUGGCAGAGCUGGCCUACUUUCUCUUCAGCUGAAGCAGAGGCAAUAAAGAAAGUGGAAUAUGGUGAGGGCCAUGGCUGCUGCAGCUUAUGGGGUCGAACAAGAACUGCUCGUCUCCUUUCUCGUGAGAAUGCUUGAAAAGGAGGAAAAGGUUCUGCUCAGCCCAAGAACAGAGUGGGCUAUUUGCAGUAGAAACUACCCUGUUUCUCAAGUCCAGUGCUUGCUCGCGCCUCUGUUCUUCUUCUGCUUCGCCUGUUGAUAUGGUGCUGAUGCUGGUGAUAUUGGCUUGAAGGCUCAAUCUAGUAGCUUAGUGAUAUAAUUUCUAUAUAAAUUUGUAUUUUUUUUUCCUUUUCUUAUCCUCUUUGGUGGAUAUUCAAAUCAAAUGUUGCUCUACCACAGGUUUGAUUUCCUCUCUGAUCUUGACAAAUCCUUGAAAUGAAGGCCAUUUUCCUGGGGAAGCAUGAGAGGAGAAAAGAGACGUUUCUUGAAUUGAUCCCUUGGGUUUCUACAUUUUGCAGUAAAUGGGAUGCAACUAAUCCUGUAGGAAAUUUGGUCAGUGGUGCUUUAAAUUUCUUGGGGGUCCCCUAAGGUACAGAGCCUUCAACAUCCGAAUACUGUUUUAUUACCGUUUCAAAUUUAAUGUCAGUCCUCUGCUUCUGUCUCUUUUACAACAAAACUUUAUUAGUUUUUUUUUUAAUUUUCCUCCUUCUUGGGAAACGUGGAGAUCCAUGAUAGUAUACUAACAAAAAUGUCUCAACUUCAAAAUCCAAAAAAGGACCCGUCAUCUUCUACGUGUAGCAAGGUACUUUGAACUUUGAAGAACUAUUAUUUAAUCAGAAUUUACUGUUGGGGUUGUUCUGUUCAUUGUUCAAGUUGCAGUUUUUCUUGCUUUAAAAUUGUGGUUUAAGAUUAUUGAAGAAUCAUGCGGCCCAUAGGACCUUGUGUUGGGUACGAUCAUUAAAUUUUGCUUUCUUUCUUUCUCGUGUGGAAAAAGUAUGAACAAGAAAAACAGGAAGAAAGACAAGGGAUGUUUGGGUGUAAGUGACGAAUGAUCUCUUAGAACAUGGAAGUGUCCAAUCAAGUAUGCUUUGCAACUUUUUCCUUUUCUUUCUUCUACUUUUAGCAUGCAUGUGAAAGCAUGGAAGCGCAGAGCCCCAUCCAAGAAGAAUGAAGAAAAAGCAGGGGGGAAAAAAAGGAGGAUAUGAUCUUUUCCUAGGAUUGGCUUUAUUAGAGCUUUGUUUAGACAGCAUAAUUUCCUUUUGAUUUUGUUAAACUUGUUUUACUCAACCAUCCCGUGACACUACUUCACAGAAUUGGUCAAUAUCAGAGUCAGAAUUGAAAUACUGACUGUAUAAUUAUAUCUAUAUUACUUCUAUCCUUCUAAGCAACAUAAAACCGAUAAUUCUUGAGUUUUAUAGUCAA